UGGUUCAUUUUGGUGGAAAUAUAUUUGCAAGAGGAUGGACAAUUUCAGAGCUGUCACUUUCAUACAACCAAACACAGGAGAUUCUUUUCUGUUUUGGUCUGACUCUUGGGCAUUAGGUGACUCAACACUGCCCUUGGCACACAGGUUCGAAAGAUUAUUCUCCUUUGCAAUUGAUACCUUCAGUACUGCUGAGGAGGUGGUCCAAGCUUUUGAGGCAAACUCCAUGACUAGCCUCUUUCAC
RNAcentral lists this long non-coding RNA (241 nucleotides) under Hordeum vulgare. RNAcentral's name for it is "long non-coding RNA (HVUL_LNC003919)". Lineage: Eukaryota; Viridiplantae; Streptophyta; Magnoliopsida; Poales; Poaceae. The record is from RNAcentral.